RNAcentral lists this long non-coding RNA (252 nucleotides) under Malus domestica (apple). RNAcentral's name for it is "long non-coding RNA (MDOM_LNC020627)". The record is from RNAcentral. Lineage: Eukaryota; Viridiplantae; Streptophyta; Magnoliopsida; Rosales; Rosaceae.
CCCUACUUACAUACUUUACUACAAUUGUCAAAAAGAGGGUUUAAUUUGUGUGCUUAUAUAUUUCGCAUCAAAUUUUGGCGCCGUUGCCGGGGAUUAGCAAACUUUGCUAAUCCCUUGGUUCUUUUCUUUUUGUUUAGUUUGUUUUUGUUUUAGUUUCUGACUUAGUUUUGUUUUCCUUGUUUUGUGUUACUUUUGAUAUUUGAUUUAUUUUUCUUUCUUUGAUUUUAGGUACAAAUGGAGCGAGACAUGGCA